RNAcentral lists this ribosomal RNA (497 nucleotides) under uncultured bacterium. RNAcentral describes it as "partial 16S ribosomal RNA". It matches the Rfam family "Bacterial small subunit ribosomal RNA", at positions 28 to 507 of the family's 1533-position model. The record is from RNAcentral.
GAUGAACGCUGGCGGCGUGCCUAAUACAUGCAAGUCGAGCGAACAGAUGAGGAGCUUGCUCCUCUGACGUUAGCGGCGGACGGGUGAGUAACACGUGGAUAACCUACCUAUAAGACUGGGAUAACUUCGGGAAACCGGAGCUAAUACCGGAUAAUAUAUUGAACCGCAUGGUCCAAUAGUGAAAGACGGUUUUGCUGUCACUUAUAGAUGGAUCCGCGCCGCAUUAGCUAGUUGGUAAGGUAACGGCUUACCAAGGCAACGAUGCGUAGCCGACCUGAGAGGGUGAUCGGCCACACUGGAACUGAGACACGGUCCAGACUCCUACGGGAGGCAGCAGUAGGGAAUCUUCCGCAAUGGGCGAAAGCUUGACGGAGCAACGCCGCGUGAGUGAUGAAGGUCUUCGGAUCGUAAAACUCUGUUAUUAGGGAAGAACAAAUGUGUAAGUAACUAUGCACGUCUUGACGGUACCUAAUCAGAAAGCCACGGCUAACUACGUG